Molecule: transfer RNA, 73 nt
Filed under: bacterium
Lineage: Bacteria
Also listed under: 4 other names
Description: tRNA-Thr
Rfam family: tRNA
About the family: Transfer RNA (tRNA) molecules are approximately 80 nucleotides in length. Their secondary structure includes four short double-helical elements and three loops (D, anti-codon, and T loops).
Source: RNAcentral
GCCACCAUAGCUCAGUUGGUAGAGCAAUCGCCUUGUAAGCGAUGGGUCAUCGGUUCGAAUCCGAUUGGUGGCU